UGUGAACCAUACCAAACUGUUGCCUCGGCGGGGUCACGCCCCGGGUGCGUCGCAGCCCCGGAACCAGGCGCCCGCCGGAGGGACCAACCAAACUCUUUCUGUAGUCCCCUCGCGGACGUUAUUUCUUACAGCUCUGAGCAAAAAUUCAAAAUGAAUCAAAACUUUCAACAACGGAUCUCUUGGUUCUGGCAUCGAUGAAGAACGCAGCGAAAUGCGAUAAGUAAUGUGAAUUGCAGAAUUCAGUGAAUCAUCGAAUCUUUGAACGCACAUUGCGCCCGCCAGUAUUCUGGCGGGCAUGCCUGUCCGAGCGUCAUUUCAACCCUCGAACCCCUCCGGGGGGUCGGCGUUGGGGAUCGGGAACCCCUAAGACGGGAUCCCGGCCCCGAAAUACAGUGGCGGUCUCGCCGCAGCCUCUCCUGCGCAGUAGUUUGCACAACUCGCACCGGGAGCGCGGCGCGUCCACGUCCGUAAAACACCCAACUUUCUGAAAUGUUGACCUCGGAUCAGGUAGGAAUACCCGCUGAACUUAAGCAUAUCAAA
RNAcentral lists this ribosomal RNA (540 nucleotides) under Trichoderma koningii. RNAcentral describes it as "eukaryotic LSU rRNA". The stretch from base 160 to 313 matches the Rfam family "5.8S ribosomal RNA". The record is from RNAcentral. Lineage: Eukaryota; Fungi; Ascomycota; Sordariomycetes; Hypocreales; Hypocreaceae.